RNAcentral lists this ribosomal RNA (468 nucleotides) under uncultured bacterium. RNAcentral describes it as "partial 16S ribosomal RNA". It matches the Rfam family "Bacterial small subunit ribosomal RNA", at positions 28 to 507 of the family's 1533-position model. The record is from RNAcentral.
GACGAACGCUGGCGGCGUGCUUAACACAUGCAAGUCGAACGGAAAGGCCCUGCUUUUGUGGGGUGCUCGAGUGGCGAACGGGUGAGUAACACGUGAGUAACCUGCCCUUGACUUUGGGAUAACUUCAGGAAACUGGGGCUAAUACCGGAUAGGAGCUCCUGCUGCAUGGUGGGGGUUGGAAAGUUUCGGCGGUUGGGGAUGGACUCGCGGCUUAUCAGCUUGUUGGUGGGGUAGUGGCUUACCAAGGCUUUGACGGGUAGCCGGCAUGAGAGGGUGACCGGCCACAUUGGGACUGAGAUACGGCCCAGUCUCCUACGGGAGGCAGCAGUGGGGAAUAUGGCACAAUGGGCGGAAGCCUGAUGCAGCAACGCCGGGUGCGGGAUGACGGCCUUCGGGUUGUAAACCGCUUUCGCCUGUGACGAAGCGUGAGUGACGGUAAUGGGUAAAGAAGCACCGGCUAACUACGUG